AUUCAUUUUACGCUCGCCGCAUACUCAAUUAGACAAUCUCUGCAGCUCGACUCGAAGUCAUUCGCAAUAUCAGAAGCAAUAGCCGACCUUCGUUUUUCCAGUUCGACUAUUUGACGAUCGAGGUCGGCCAAGGCUUCCCCUUUCACCUUUAAAGCAUCAAUCUUCGGACGAAGAGCGUCUUGGACGACCAUGGCAGCUUUCAGAUCUUGUUCAGCCUGAAGAGCGUUCUCAAGGACACUAAAAGUCUUCCGAACUCGCUCUAAGGCAGACGACGCCUAAA
Molecule: long non-coding RNA, 280 nt
Filed under: Malus domestica (apple)
Lineage: Eukaryota; Viridiplantae; Streptophyta; Magnoliopsida; Rosales; Rosaceae
Description: long non-coding RNA (MDOM_LNC005632)
Source: RNAcentral